CGGGACGGGUGAGUAAUGUCUGGGAAACUGCCCGAUGGAGGGGGAUAACUACUGGAAACGGUAGCUAAUACCGCAUAACGUCGCAAGACCAAAGAGGGGGACCUUAGGGCCUCUUGCCAUCAGAUGAACCCAUAUGGGAUUAGCUAGUAGGUGAGGUAACGGCUUACCUAGGCGACGAUCCCUAGCUGGUCUGAGAGGAUGAUCAGCCACACUGGGACUGAGACACGGCCCAG
RNAcentral lists this ribosomal RNA (233 nucleotides) under uncultured bacterium. Its description in RNAcentral is "partial 16S ribosomal RNA". It matches the Rfam family "Bacterial small subunit ribosomal RNA", at positions 100 to 334 of the family's 1533-position model. The record is from RNAcentral.